UGGUUGUAUUUCUUUUUUGUUAUAAUUACACAAAAUGUUUUUAUUUGGUUAUUUGUAUUGUUACUUACCUGACUGAAACAUCUCUAGAAAUUCUGUCACUGUUUUAACCGUGUUACUUUAAGAAUGGAAGCUCCUCCUUUUCGGUUCUUCUUUUGUGGUAUUGUCUUUAAAUAGUUUGCACCCCUUAGUCCCUCCCCUUUUGUCAUGUUGUCCUGCGGGAGAGGACUUGGAGCGGGCAGCCUAUAACACGGUUGUAUGUUGUUCUCGUCAGGUACAAUAAAGCAAGAAACCGUCAUUUUAAAGACAAA
This is a long non-coding RNA of Fundulus heteroclitus (mummichog), 308 nucleotides long. RefSeq lists it as uncharacterized. The record is from RefSeq and is a predicted model, not a curated record. Lineage: Eukaryota; Metazoa; Chordata; Actinopteri; Cyprinodontiformes; Fundulidae. The transcript is spliced from 2 exons.